Camellia sinensis is the source of this 653-nucleotide non-coding RNA. The record is from RefSeq and is a predicted model, not a curated record. NCBI's taxonomy places the organism in Eukaryota, Viridiplantae, Streptophyta, Magnoliopsida, Ericales, Theaceae.
UGACUUCUUGUUUUAUGUCUCCCUAUAUAUAAUUCUUCUUGUGAUUGCAUACUGAUCUUGUGUCAAGUUAUCUAAACCGAUUGCAAUCAUAUUGUCUGUAUGCCUUGUCAUUCCCCAUCCGAUUCAUUGUGGUUUAAAAAGAAAGAUAUACCAUAAAAGUUCUUAAAACAAUUAAUUGUAGAUCAAUGAUAUUUUAUGAUCUUAAGUACAUUUAAUAGGAAACAAAAUGGAACAUGACUCUAGUCAAUUGAAUCUGAUUUAUAUUAGGAUGGAGAACCCACUAUACAAGCUAAGCCAUAUUAACGAUUUCCAGUUUGGAAAGAAAGGCCAUUAUAAUUUCAGCAACUGAAGUAUUAAGAGAUUCAGAAAUGUACCUUAUUUCUUUUAUAGGUUAGUUUUGAAUUUUGGGAUUCUUGGUUUAUGCCCCUACAGGAACAGGCUGAAGAAGUUUGUGACAAGGUGGUGUAUCUCCAUGGCCACCUUCGGUGGUUCCAUUGUUUUGUUUUCUAAGUUUGAUUUUGCCUAGUGACUACUUCAUAAUCAAAUCGACAGGUGAAGAAAAUGAAAGAACUCAGCAAGGGUUUCAACAUAGUUGGUCUCUCCCAGCAGUUUGUUUCUUGUGGAAUACAGGCAUGUGAAGAUUGCAAUUUACU